Molecule: long non-coding RNA, 387 nt
Filed under: Ananas comosus (pineapple)
Lineage: Eukaryota; Viridiplantae; Streptophyta; Magnoliopsida; Poales; Bromeliaceae
Description: long non-coding RNA (ACOM_LNC043032)
Source: RNAcentral
AAAAUAAAAUUUUAAAAAAAUUUUAUUUGAUUUUAUUUUGAUUUUAAUAUCAAACUUUAAUAUUACAAUCUGAUAAGCGAUCAAUUUUACAUCUACAAUUUUUGAAAUAUCCAAAAUAUGAUUGGUCGACUCUUAAUUUUAACAAUUACGCAUUAUAAAAUUUGUUAGAUAGUUUAAAAUAUUUUUUUCUCGAAUAAAAAGACUAAUUGAAUAAGGAACUGCAGAAAAUAUAUCGUAACCGAAUAAUCGUGAAUAAACAAACAAGAUAUUUUUCAAUCGUAGUUUCUCACAACAUGUAACGCAAUCUCCCCGUGAUCAAAUUGCUUAAUAAAUAUCAUUAAUAUGUAUAUAUCAUAUUAUGUAUUAAUUAUUUUAAUUAUUUAAUAC